This 147-nucleotide small nuclear RNA is filed under the name Microtus ochrogaster (prairie vole). Its description in RNAcentral is "U1 spliceosomal RNA (ENSMOCG00000003416.1)". The record is from RNAcentral. Lineage: Eukaryota; Metazoa; Chordata; Mammalia; Rodentia; Cricetidae.
GUACUUUCCUGGCAGGGGAGUUGUCUUGCCAUGGUCAUGUGACUGCUUUUCCCAGGGUAAGACUCAUCCAUUGUAUUCUUCACGUGCUGAUCCUAGGAUUUCCCUAAACAUGGGGACCAACAUUGCUGGAUUUAUGGUGUGAGGCUA